ACGGAGGGGGCUAGCGUUGUUCGGAAUUACUGGGCGUAAAGCGCACGUAGGUGGCUUUGUAAGUUAGAGGUGAAAGCCCGGGGCUCAACUCCGGAAUUGCCUUUAAGACUGCAUCGCUAGAACGUCGGAGAGGUAAGUGGAAUUCCGAGUGUAGAGGUGAAAUUCGUAGAUAUUCGGAAGAACACCAGCGGCGAAGGCAGCAACUUGGUCUGGUAUUGACGCUCAGGCACGAAAGCAUGGGGAUCAAACAGGA
Molecule: ribosomal RNA, 253 nt
Filed under: uncultured prokaryote
Description: partial 16S ribosomal RNA
Rfam family: Bacterial small subunit ribosomal RNA
Source: RNAcentral